CAGAGACAAAAAACCUACGUGCUGGGCAGACCUUCACGAAAGACUUAAUAGCAUUUUAUCCCAGUGGAAUAACUGCCAUCAACGUCAUUCCACCAACCGGUGCUAAUGUGGGUGCAAUGGUUACUGUAAAUGGUACCACGGCCUCGGUUAACAUAACCUGGACUCCGGCCCCUGCACAGCACGGACACCACCUGAUUUGUUAUCAAGCCUUUGGCGCUAAUAGAUGUCCUGGACCGUACCUAUGUGACAAACUUGUAGUAG
Lingula anatina is the source of this 261-nucleotide long non-coding RNA. The record is from RefSeq and is a predicted model, not a curated record. NCBI's taxonomy places the organism in Eukaryota, Metazoa, Brachiopoda, Lingulata, Lingulida, Lingulidae.